RNAcentral lists this ribosomal RNA (122 nucleotides) under Pteropus alecto (black flying fox). RNAcentral also lists the same sequence under 1 other name. The record is from RNAcentral. Lineage: Eukaryota; Metazoa; Chordata; Mammalia; Chiroptera; Pteropodidae.
GUCUGUGGCCAUGCCAUCCUGAACAAGCCUGAUCUCAUCUGAUCUUGGAAGCUAAGCAGGUUCGGUCGGGCCUGGUUAGUAUUUGAAUGGGAGACCACUAGGAAGACCAAUUGUUGUAGACA